RNAcentral lists this ribosomal RNA (497 nucleotides) under uncultured bacterium. Its description in RNAcentral is "partial 16S ribosomal RNA". It matches the Rfam family "Bacterial small subunit ribosomal RNA", at positions 28 to 507 of the family's 1533-position model. The record is from RNAcentral.
GAUGAACGCUGGCGGCGUGCCUAAUACAUGCAAGUCGAGCGAACAGAUGAGGAGCUUGCUCCUCUGACGUUAGCGGCGGACGGGUGAGUAACACGUGGAUAACCUACCUAUAAGACUGGGAUAACAUCGGGAAACCGGAGCUAAUACCGGAUAAUAUAUUGAACCGCAUGGUUCAAUAGUGAAAGACGGUUUUGCUGUCACUUAUAGAUGGAUCCGCGCCGCAUUAGCUAGUUGGUAAGGUAACGGCUUACCAAGGCAACGAUGCGUAGCCGACCUGAGAGGGUGAUCGGCCACACUGGAACUGAGACACGGUCCAGACUCCUACGGGAGGCAGCAGUAGGGAAUCUUCCGCAAUGGGCGAAAGCCUGACGGAGCAACGCCGCGUGAGUGAUGAAGGUCUUCGGAUCGUAAAACUCUGUUAUUGGGGAAGAACAAAUGUGUAAGUAACUAUGCACGUCUUGACGGUACCUAAUCAGAAAGCCACGGCUAACUACGUG